AGAGUUUGAUCCUGGCUCAGGAUGAACGCUAGCGGCAGGCUUAACACAUGCAAGUCGAGGGGCAGCAUAAUGGAUAGCAAUAUCUAUGGUGGCGACCGGCGCACGGGUGCGUAACGCGUAUGCAACCUACCUUUAACAGGGGGAUAACACUGAGAAAUUGGUACUAAUACCCCAUAAUAUCAUAGAAGGCAUCUUUUAUGGUUGAAAAUUCCGAUGGUUAGAGAUGGGCAUGCGUUGUAUUAGCUAGUUGGUGGGGUAACGGCUCACCAAGGCGACGAUACAUAGGGGGACUGAGAGGUUAACCCCCCACACUGGUACUGAGACACGGACCAGACUCCUACGGGAGGCAGCAGUGAGGAAUAUUGGUCAAUGGACGCAAGUCUGAACCAGCCAUGCCGCGUGCAGGAUGACGGCUCUAUGAGUUGUAAACUGCUUUUGUACGAGGGUAAACGCAGAUACGUGUAUCUGUCUGAAAGUAUCGUACGAAUAAGGAUCGGCUAACUCCGUGCCAGCAGCCGCGGUAAUACGGAGGAUUCAAGCGUUAUCCGGAUUUAUUGGGUUUAAAGGGUGCGUAGGCGGUUUGAUAAGUUAGAGGUGAAAUUUCGGGGCUCAACCCUGAACGUGCCUCUAAUACUGUUGAGCUAGAGAGUAGUUGCGGUAGGCGGAAUGUAUGGUGUAGCGGUGAAAUGCUUAGAGAUCAUACAGAACACCGAUUGCGAAGGCAGCUUACCAAACUAUAUCUGACGUUGAGGCACGAAAGCGUGGGGAGCAAACAGGAUUAGAUACCCUGGUAGUCCACGCAGUAAACGAUGAUAACUCGUUGUCGGCGAUACACAGUCGGUGACUAAGCGAAAGCGAUAAGUUAUCCACCUGGGGAGUACGUU
Molecule: ribosomal RNA, 884 nt
Filed under: gut metagenome
Description: bacterial SSU rRNA
Rfam family: Bacterial small subunit ribosomal RNA
Source: RNAcentral